Non-coding RNA from Prunus mume (Japanese apricot), 296 nucleotides. Lineage: Eukaryota; Viridiplantae; Streptophyta; Magnoliopsida; Rosales; Rosaceae. The record is from RefSeq and is a predicted model, not a curated record.
CAGGGCAGGAAGCCAACAAGAUGUAUCAAUAUCACACCAUCCAGCUUCUUUGGGAGAUUCACGUUGGCUUGAAAAGGUCGUUCAGGCAUUUAUUUCUUGUGUUACGACUGGUAAUGUUAAGGUCCAAUGGAAUGUUUGUCACGCUUUGAGCAACCUGUUUCUGAAUGAGACAUUAAGACUGCAAGACACGGAUUGGGCUUCAUCUGUAUUUAGUAUUCUACUACUACUAUUACGUGAUUCUUCGAACUUUAAGAUCAGGAUCCAAGCUGCUGCUGCUCUGGCGGUGCCAGCAUCAG